UACGAAGGGGGCUAGCGUUGCUCGGAAUCACUGGGCGUAAAGGGUGCGUAGGCGGGUAUUUAAGUCAGGGGUGAAAUCCUGGAGCUCAACUCCAGAACUGCCUUUGAUACUGAGGAUCUUGAGUUCGGGAGAGGUGAGUGGAACUGCGAGUGUAGAGGUGAAAUUCGUAGAUAUUCGCAAGAACACCAGUGGCGAAGGCGUCUCACUGGCCCGAUACUGACGCUGAGGCACGAAAGCGUGGGGAGCAAACAGG
RNAcentral lists this ribosomal RNA (253 nucleotides) under uncultured bacterium. RNAcentral describes it as "partial 16S ribosomal RNA". It matches the Rfam family "Bacterial small subunit ribosomal RNA", at positions 524 to 776 of the family's 1533-position model. The record is from RNAcentral.